This 253-nucleotide ribosomal RNA is filed under the name uncultured bacterium. RNAcentral's name for it is "partial 16S ribosomal RNA". It matches the Rfam family "Bacterial small subunit ribosomal RNA", at positions 524 to 776 of the family's 1533-position model. The record is from RNAcentral.
UACAGAGAGUGCGAACGUUGUUCGGAAUUACUGGGCUUAAAGCGCACGUAGGCGGUGCUGUAAGUGUCAGGUGAAAUCCCUCGGCUCAACUGAGGAACUGCCUUUGAAACUGUCGGGCUCGAGGCCGGGAGGGGGUAGCGGAAUUCCCAGUGUAGCGGUGAAAUGCGUAGAUAUUGGGAGGAACACCGGUGGCGAAGGCGGCUACCUGGACCGGUUCUGACGCUGAUGUGCGAAAGCGUGGGUAGCAAACAGG